UUUCCGUAGGUGAACCUGCGGAAGGAUCAUUACCGAGUGCGGGACCCUCAGGCCCUACCUCCCACCCUGUGCUUUUUUGACCUUGUUGCCUUGGCGGGUCCGCCUCGCUGAGAGGCCGCCGGAAGCUCACCGCUUUCCGCACGAGCCCGCCGGUAGCCCCCUUAAACUCUUAAUAAACCUGUCCACCGAGUCUAGGUACACUAACAAACACUUUCAACAACGGAUCUCUUGGUACUGGCAUCGUUGAAGAAAGCAGCAGAUCGGAAGAGCAUACGACGG
RNAcentral lists this unclassified non-coding RNA (279 nucleotides) under plant metagenome. RNAcentral's name for it is "partial contains small subunit ribosomal RNA, internal transcribed spacer 1, and 5.8S ribosomal RNA". The record is from RNAcentral.